Molecule: ribosomal RNA, 312 nt
Filed under: Cyclocosmia truncata
Lineage: Eukaryota; Metazoa; Arthropoda; Arachnida; Araneae; Ctenizidae
Description: partial 12S ribosomal RNA
Source: RNAcentral
AGGUAAUACUUAUAAGGAAACCUUUAUUUUUUGGCGGCUUUCAUAAAAUCAGAGAAACUUGUUUCUUAAUCGAUAACCCACGUUAUUUCUUACUUCUUUGUUUCUCCUAUACCGCCGUCCAUCGACCUAGCUUUAUCUCUAGCUCUCCACAAAAUAAUUCAUUAAAAAAUCAGGUCAAGGUGGGGUCCCAUAAAAGUGAAAAUGAGUUGCUAAUUAACUUUAUUAAAAGACUAUUUUUCUAAAGAAUAUACAAAAAAGGAUUUGAAAGUAGUUUAAAAUCAAUGAUCUUAGACUAAUUCGUUUAUUAAGUGU